GAAGGAAUCUUGCACAAUGGGCGCAAGCUCGAUGCAGCAACGCCGCGUGGAGGACGAAGGCCUUCGGGUUGUAAACUCCUUUUCUGUGGGAAGAGGAAGGACGGUACCACAGGAAUAAGCCUCGGCUAACUACGUGCCAGCAGCCGCGGUAAAACGUAGGAGGCGAGCGUUAUCCGGAUUUACUGGGCGUAAAGGGCAAGUAGGCGGUCUCUCAAGUUGGGCGUGACAUUUCCCGGCUUAACUGGGAAGGGUCGUUCAAAACUGAGGGACUGGAGGACAGGAGAGGCAAGCGGAAUUCCCCGUGUAGCGGUGGAAUGCAUAGAGAUGGGGAAGAACACCAGUGGCGAAGGCGGCUUGCUGGCCUGCACCUGACGCUGAGAGGCGAAAGCUAGGGGAGCGAACGGG
This 405-nucleotide ribosomal RNA is filed under the name uncultured bacterium. Its description in RNAcentral is "bacterial SSU rRNA". It matches the Rfam family "Bacterial small subunit ribosomal RNA", at positions 355 to 776 of the family's 1533-position model. The record is from RNAcentral.